RNAcentral lists this ribosomal RNA (836 nucleotides) under uncultured bacterium. RNAcentral's name for it is "bacterial SSU rRNA". It matches the Rfam family "Bacterial small subunit ribosomal RNA", at positions 64 to 896 of the family's 1533-position model. The record is from RNAcentral.
GAGCGAGAAAGCUCCUUCGGGAGUAAGUAAAGCGGCGAACGGGUGAGCAACGCGUGAGAAUCUACCCUUUAGUGAAGAAUACCCUCGAGAAAUCGAGGCUAAUACUGCAUACGUCCCUUCGGGGAGAAAGAUGGCCUCUUUGCUAUCGCUAAAGGAUGAGCUUGCGUACUAUUAGCUAGUUGGCAGGGUAAAGGCCCACCAAGGCAAUGAUGGUUAACCGGCCUGAGAGGGUGUACGGUCACACUGGAACUUAGACACGGUCCAGACUCCUACGGGAGGCAGCAGUGAGGAAUCUUGCGCAAUGGGCGAAAGCCUGACGCAGCGACGCCGCGUGGAGGAUGACGGUUUUCGGAUUGUAAACUCCUGUUAAGCGGGAAGAAAGCCUUGUUUCUAAUACAAGCAAGGUAUGACGGUACCGCUAGAGAAAGCACCGGCUAACUUCGUGCCAGCAGCCGCGGUAAUACGAGGGGUGCAAGCGUUAUUCGGAUUGAUUGGGUGUAAAGGGUGUGCAGACGGCUUAUUAAGUCACUUGUUAAAUUCUUCGGCCUAACUGAAGGUAUGCAGGUGAUACUGUUGAGCUAGAGGGUGGAAGAGAGAAGUGGAAUUCUCGGAGUAGCGGUAAAAUGCGUAGAUCUCGAGAGGAACACCAAUGGCGAAGGCAGCUUCUUGGUCCAUUCCUGACGUUCAUACACGAAAGCGUGGGGAGCAAACAGGAUUAGAUACCCUGGUAGUCCACGCUGUAAACGAUGAUCACUAGACGUUAAUUCUGUUUAACAGAAUUAGUGUCGUAGCUAACGCGUUAAGUGAUCCACCUGGGGAUUACGGUCGCAAGACUA